CAAUAAGUGUUUUAUGGCACUUUUUCAAUCCAUAUCCACCUUGUGUGCAAUGUUGUCUUGUAGUGCGAAUGCUUGUCAUUUGCGCUACAGGAUGUAAACAUCAACUCUUAUCUUUAACAACUUUGUCUAAAACCUGUAUGAAUACUUAAUUCAAAUA
Molecule: unclassified non-coding RNA, 157 nt
Filed under: uncultured Mortierella
Lineage: Eukaryota; Fungi; Mortierellomycota; Mortierellomycetes; Mortierellales; Mortierellaceae
Description: sequence contains ITS1
Source: RNAcentral